CUUUAAAAAUCUGGAUCAAGCUGAAAAUUGAAACGACACAUCUUUAAUGGUGUGUUCGAGUCUCUCAAAUUAUCGCAAACCGGUGAUGAAUCGAAAGAAACAUCUUCGG
This is a non-coding RNA of Enterobacter cloacae, 109 nucleotides long. It matches the Rfam family "Salmonella enterica Typhi npcRNA 44". NCBI's taxonomy places the organism in Bacteria, Pseudomonadati, Pseudomonadota, Gammaproteobacteria, Enterobacterales, Enterobacteriaceae. The record is from Rfam.